GAUGAAGAACGUAGCGAAAUGCGAUAAGUAAUGUGAAUUGCAGAAUUCAGUGAAUCAUCGAAUCUUUGAACGCACAUUGCGCCCUUUGGUAUUCCUUAGGGCAUGCCUGUUCGAGCGUCAUUUACAAAUUCAAGCUCAGCUUGGUGAUGGGUGUCUGUCCCGCCUUUGCGCGUGGACUCGCCUCAAAUGCAGUUGGCAGCUUGUUCCUCGGCUCUAAACGCAGCAGAUUUGCGUCGAGCGUCGGGCAGACGGGCUCUCCAGUAAGCAAACCCCACAAAUUGACCUCGGAUCAGGUAGGGAUACCCGCUGAACUUAAGCAUAUCAAUAAGCGGAGGA
Molecule: unclassified non-coding RNA, 336 nt
Filed under: soil metagenome
Description: partial contains 5.8S ribosomal RNA, internal transcribed spacer 2, and large subunit ribosomal RNA
Rfam family: 5.8S ribosomal RNA (bases 1-120)
Source: RNAcentral